This is a long non-coding RNA of Equus asinus (donkey), 4115 nucleotides long. The record is from Ensembl. NCBI's taxonomy places the organism in Eukaryota, Metazoa, Chordata, Mammalia, Perissodactyla, Equidae.
GGUGGAGAGCCUGGGACUUUGAGGAGUUAGCGAUGUAAGAUAGAACUUUUAGACUGUGUCCCUGCUCUCCGCUCUUACAUUCACGCCGCUCCUAUUCUUGACAGAGGAAGGAAAGGCUGAGUGGGGGCCGUGUUAAGGGCAGAGAAGAGCCUCCCAGAGAUCACUUAGGCUCCUGCCUAUCAAAGGACAGGAAUAAAAGAGAGGAACUCCAGGCCCAACGUCCUUGAGUCCCUGUUUCCUUGUCAAUGAAAGAGACUAGUAUGUAAAUAAGAGCUUUGCAUAAGCCAGACAUUCUUUCAAGUCCAGUUUAUCUGCAGUAUGAGUCACUUCCUUUUUAAAGCAUGAAUUAAAAGAGAGAGGCGCAUAAUCAUUACCCACACAAACCUUAAUAGACCUUUCUCCUCAUUCAAAUAGCAAGAAGGUAAAGGGCUCCUCCUUUGACAAAACAGCAACAUCAUCUUGCAUAUCCUGGACGCACAGUUCGACCGGUUAAUACCUGCAUUCAGAAGAGAGAAAUGAACCAGUGAGAUAAGCAGGCAGAUGAGAUGACAGAGGGAGGCCCCAGGCCCAGCCGGGUGAACCUGAUACCUACAAAGAAAGCUCAAGAACAAGAAGCCCUUGAAUGACUCAGGUAAGGUUUAUCUCCUCCAAAAGGAAGUUUAACCCCAUGUUAUCCAUGAGAGCAAAGAAACACAGAAACCUUUGGAGGAAGUCUCAGGGUAGCCGAAGGCCAAAAAACAGAGGAGGAAACAAGCCACCUGCCCGUCCACAGACGAGGGCUCUGCACAGGAACUGGAACUGUCAACUGAAAAACAAACAUGGGAUGGGAUGGUACAGAAACCAAGCAGGAAAGUGGCCGGCCUCUUCCCCAUCUCAGUGCUGUCGGGCGUGUCCAGCUCCUGCGGGGGAUUUGUCCGGGAUGGUUCAUUUUUCAGGAGUUAAAGAUUCUAUUUGAAGAGGGAAGCAGGGAAGAAAAAAGCAAGACCCCUGGCACCAAGCUAGGAAGCACCAGCCUCCGCCUGCAGUCCACACUCUGGACUUCCUCCCAAAUGAGUCCCAUGAAGCCCAACCUCAAAGGAAAGGCCUAGAAUGGAAAUGUCUCAUUAGCCUGGGCCUGGGCUUGUUGCCCGGCUCUGAUUGGGUUCCCAGUGACUUCUUUUAGGCUUGGGGCCAGGACUUAUUUUUAUGUUAGAUCUUGAAGAAAUUUAUUCAGUUCCCAUACACCCCGUGGUACUGUGAAAACUUCAGCUUCAUCAGUGGCAGUUUCCAAGCGGGGUGUGAGCAGAAGAGCGCCAGAGGAGAAAGAAGGACAGAGUGCCACAAAGACACUUAAUGAGGGAUGGAGGCACGCUUCUUUGGGUCAAAACAAUCUGAGUGUUGAUCUACCAGUCAAUAUCCGGAACCAAAUCCCCACACCAGCUUGAGAUAAUCAGCCGCCCCAGCCUCCACGGGAAACCCUCUGUGUAGGAGGCCGGAAGGGCCAGAGGGCAGGGGACAGGCAACCUCCAUUUGCUGAUGGCUAACCACAUUCCUAACCCUGCACCUGGCACUUCAGCUAAUUUGUCCUUCACAACAACCCCCUGAAGAAGAACCGGGAACAAGAAGCCUGGAGCCACUGUGUCAGCAAACCUCCACCCUCACCUCUGAUCAACUGACAAACCCAGGCCAUGCCUAAAACUUGGAAAACUAAUAACAGAAUUAAUUAUACAACUAGAAUAAAACUAGAUUUAAUUCUUCCUCUGCACUUGACUCCCAUUGCAGGCUCAGUAGCAAGGACAGAAAUUCACCCAAGUGAACUGCACGUGCGAAGGGUUACUCAGCAAUCUUGCAGGAUGAACGGUGAAUGCCCCCCACUCCCCAAGGAGAGCUUGUUUUUUCUGUCUCCAGCCUCUGGCCAGACUUGGGUUGAACACCAAGGACCAACCUCUUGGUCACAACAAAGGCCCCACCCCCCAGAGGAAAGCCAACUGGGCUGGCUGGGGUGUAGCGGCCAGCCCUCUUGGGUCAGCAGACAGGAACCAUCUGUACUGGAGGAAAGAGCAUACCCAGGAAGCCCAAAGCCUAGGGGCUUUUGAAAAAGAAAUCAACUAUGCUUUUCAACACAUGCUAACAAAACUCUAAUCUGUGAGCCUAACAAGCCGAGGAUAUUGGAAGAAUUUGAUAGGAACAGUGAAUUAAAAGCCUUCUUUACGGCCCUCCAUUCCCAGUGGAAGCAACAACCUUCAACAUUCAUUCAUCCCACAGAUAUUUAUGAAGAGGCUGCUAUGCAUGAGAUAUCAUUUCUGGGCCUGACAGCACGGAACAAGAUGACAAUGACGACGAACAGGCUCGUCUGUCUUCCCUAUUAAAGCAAUACGUGCCAAUUAAAGAGAAAUCAUAAAACGGACAUAAACUGAAAGGAGAAAUCACCUGCGUCCUCCCACAGGCUAUAUUCUGCUUUUCAAUCUAUUUUCAAUGUGUAUGAAUCCAUGUGGCCAUACUAUUUUUCCCCAAAUAACACUAUAAUGAACGUAAUAUUGUGUCAUGGCUGCUUUUUCCACUUGCCAUGUUGUUAGCCAUACUUCCAUAUGUUGCAGUCUGAUUAAAGGUUAAUUUCUUCAUCUCAAAAGUAGGAGUAGGAGCAUUUGUUUUUUAUUCUAACCAGUGGAUUAGACCUAAUAGAUAUGAGGAAAACAAAAAGGAAGAGUAACUGGAUCUCGAGCCAUUGCCCCCGCACACACACUCGCCAGCCAGGAAAGAGUAAGGGCCACAACUCCCACAGCUGCCAGUGAUGCAGGGAGGCAGGUGCAGCAUCCCGACAGCUGCAAGUACCUACAGGCCCUGGUUCACAGCCUGGGUGCACCGGCCCAGGCAGAGGCGGGGCAGCAGGUCCCCCAGUGGGUGUAACAACAACACACAGUCCGGCAUGCUUGACCUCUGCAUCAGGUUUACCCAGGAGGGAGGCCAGAGCUAAGCAGGGCGCGGUCAGGCCUCUGACAGAGAACAGCAGGACAGGCCCGGGCCAUUUGGCCCUUGCUAAAGUAACCUGCAAUUUCUCCCACAUAAUAUAUGACUAAAAGCCAGUCACAUUCUUAUUACUCAAUUUCGCACUCAUGCCUAAAUUCAAUCUGUUGUACUUCGGCAAAUUUGCAAAACUGAAGGUCCAAGUCUUUAAAUAAUUUAAGAAAAGUCUGGUGCCCAAAGAAAGGCUCCUUUCAGGGUGGGAUUUGCUCAUGGGCACCAGGCCCACACAAAAGGGAACGAUCCCAGGAACCAAUCACAGCACCGUCUUUAGCGACUCUCUCUUAUUCCACUGUACCAGUGCACCAAAGUUUAUCAAUUUCUUUUAAAUAAAGUUUUAUCUUCCAAUCUUUUUACUAUAACAUUCCUGCAAACAUCUGGUUGCUAAAUCUUUGUUCACUUGCUUUACUAUGGCCAUAGGAUAAAUUCUUUCAAGUAGAAUUGUCAACUCGAAGGGUAUAAACAUUUUUAUGACUUUUACACUCAUACCACCAAAUUGCUCCCUCGGAGAAACUGCACCAAUCUUCGUUCUCUUGUCUCACAUGGACAGGUUUACUUCCUUGUUACUUUCUCUACUUCGGGUAUUACCAUAAAACAAAAUGUUAGUUUGAUAUGUGAAAAAAUAAGUUCACUGUUUUCCUUUGUAUUCUUUUAUUACUAAUGAGGCUGAAAAUAUUUUUAUAUGCUUGUUUGCUAUCACUUAUUUCAUGAAUUAGCUAUCCACAUGCUUUGUAAAUGUUCUUUAUACAGCAGGAAUUUUAAGCCUUUGCCUGUAUCUACUUUGCAGAGACUGAGCUUUUACAAGUCACAUGCUAUGGAUGCCGAAUCAUUGUUGUCCUCCUUGCCUUGUUAUUUAAAUGGUCCUUUCUUCCUUCGUUGGCUGCAUUGAUGACUUUCCUCAUCAUCUUUCUAAGAGACCACACGGCUCUGAAAGAGCUCAGUACCUCACUCGUGACGCGGAGGAGCCACAGGCCCGCGACAUGCAGUUCUUUUCAAUUUGUAUGUUUGUCUCAUGUUUUUCAUUUCUAUCACUGCAGUUGAAAUAAGAUAUUCUACGCUGUGAUUCAGUUCACCUUCUGUGAGUGUAUAUGUAAAUAUACACACCUAAGUAUGUA